RNAcentral lists this ribosomal RNA (443 nucleotides) under uncultured bacterium. RNAcentral describes it as "SSU rRNA". It matches the Rfam family "Bacterial small subunit ribosomal RNA", at positions 26 to 518 of the family's 1533-position model. The record is from RNAcentral.
AGAACGAACGCUGGCGGCACGCCUAACACAUGCAAGUCGAGCGCCCAGCAAUGGGAGCGGCGGACGGGUGAGUAACACGUGGGAACAUGCCUUUCGGUACGGAACAACUGCGGGAAACUGCAGCUAAUGCCGUAUACGCCCUUACGGGGAAAGAUUUAUCGCCGAAAGAUUGGCCCGCGUCUGAUUAGCUAGUUGGUGAGGUAACGGCUCACCAAGGCUUCGAUCAGUAGCUGGUUUGAGAGAACGACCAGCCACAUUGGGACUGAGACACGGCCCAAACUCCUACGGGAGGCAGCAGUGGGGAAUCUUGGACAAUGGGGGAAACCCUGAUCCAGCGAUGCCGCGUGAGUGAUGAAGGCCUUCGGGUUGUAAACUCUUUCGACGGGGACGAUAAUGACGGUACCCGUAGAAGAAGCUCCGGCUAACUUCGUGCCAGCAGCCGC